RNAcentral lists this ribosomal RNA (508 nucleotides) under uncultured bacterium. Its description in RNAcentral is "bacterial SSU rRNA". It matches the Rfam family "Bacterial small subunit ribosomal RNA", at positions 28 to 526 of the family's 1533-position model. The record is from RNAcentral.
GAUGAACGCUAGCGGCAGGCCUAAUACAUGCAAGUCGAGGGGCAGCAGGUUCGAGUUUACUUGAACGCUGGCGACCGGCGCACGGGUGCGUAACGCGUAUGCAACCUACCUACUACAGGGGGAUAGCCAUUGGAAACAGUGAUUAAUACCCCAUAACGCAGGGACUCCGAUUGGAGAUAUUGCUAAAGAUUUAUCGGUGGUAGAUGGGCAUGCGUAGGAUUAGCUAGUUGGUGGUGUAAUGGACCACCAAGGCGACGAUCUUUAGCGGGUCUGAGAGGAUGAUCCGCCACACUGGAACUGAGACACGGUCCAGACUCCUACGGGAGGCAGCAGUAGGGAAUAUUGGUCAAUGGGGGCAACCCUGAACCAGCCAUGCCGCGUGCAGGAAGACAGCCUUCUGGGUUGUAAACUGCUUUUAUCAGGGGGGAAUUGUCGGGAUGCGUCCCGAAGUUGACAGUACCUGAUGAAUAAGCACCGGCUAACUCCGUGCCAGCAGCCGCCGUAAAAC